UACGUAGGGUGCAAGCGUUGUCCGGAAUUAUUGGGCGUAAAGAGCUCGUAGGCGGUUCGUCGCGUCGGCUGUGAAAACCUGAGGCUCAACCUCAGGCCUGCAGUCGAUACGGGCGGACUUGAGUACUGCAGGGGAGACUGGAAUUCCUGGUGUAGCGGUGAAAUGCGCAGAUAUCAGGAGGAACACCGGUGGCGAAGGCGGGUCUCUGGGCAGUAACUGACGCUGGAGGAGCGAAAGCGUGGGAGCGAACAGG
Molecule: ribosomal RNA, 253 nt
Filed under: uncultured bacterium
Lineage: Bacteria
Description: partial 16S ribosomal RNA
Rfam family: Bacterial small subunit ribosomal RNA
Source: RNAcentral